UGUUUUAAAAGAGAGAGAGAGUGUGUUUAUGGCAGAGCGUUAGAGAGAGAGAGGGAGAAUGCAGGAGAAAAGGCCGACCCGGUCAAUCAACUGCGGUCUCCCACGCUUCACUUCACUUGGUCGGAGAACGAACACGCCUACACCCCGCUCCGCCAAUCAUCCCCUUCUGAUCUUCUCUUUUCUCGUGAUAUUAUUGUUUCUAUAUACUUUCAGAUUCAUAAUUAGGGUUUUUUUUUACUUUUGUAAACUAUAGGAAUUCAUGAUGGCUUCGAAACGGAUCUUGAAAGAACUCAAGGAUCUCCGGAAGGAUCCUCCUACCUCUUGCAGUGCAGGUUUCUUUCUAUCGGGCUGAAGGCCUGCUUGGUUCAUAAAGUUCAGAGAAUGUAUUCGAAUUCAUCCACAGAGCUUUGUGAUGGACCAAUUAACGCCUUUACAGUAACGUGUACUGUAACCAUGGGUUCAUUUAUGUAACCUCACAGGGUACGUUGGAGAUCUGUCUACUUCUAUCUUUUUUAGCAUAUGACAAUUAUUGGCCAGUACAAAAGAUCCCCUUGAAGGCCACUCGGCAUCAAGUAACAUACUUUGCUGAGAAGAACCUAUACCCACUUAUAGUUUCUGUUCCUGCGAGUAGAUUCUUUGGUUGACCAUUAAUAUAAUGUCUCAAAGCCUAUAAAUCAAGUGCUAUCAACUCUGGUUGAUCAAGAAUCUGGCCACCAAAUUGAGCAUGAUAAUUUAAAUCUUGAUGGUACUUAAUACUGUUGAAGAAUUCGAGGUUAGAAUUUUGGAACCAGAGAGUUCUGGUGGGCCAUGGCAAAUAAAAGGAACUAUUCACAUACAAACUUCUGAGCCUGCGUUAACUGUCAGUGGUUACAUUAUCUAAUACAACAACAAGAGAGAAUGAAACUCUGUUGGCAAUUGGGACUGCCUAUGUGCAAGGGGAAGAUGUAGCUGCAAGAGGACGUGUUCUUUUGUUCUCAGUUGAAAAUAGCACUGAGAAUUCACCGGCAAAGGCAAAGUGCUCAUUGUGGUGGCUCAAUGGUGAUUCCAACAAGGCCGUGGGCGGCUGGAGCUUUUUGUUGCUGUUGUUGAAGCCUCCUUUAGUUCCUGGAUUAGGGGGGAAAAGUAAGGAGCUAGGAUAAUGAUGUAAACUGUACUGUAUAUGUGCCCCGAUUUGAGAGGAGAUCGGGUUUCUACUCCCUUAACUGACCAGAGAAUGUUACGACUUGUGUUUCUUGGGAUGGUAAUGGGCACGGUUUAUGCGUAGUCAAGAAACUUACCGUAUUGAUACGUAGUUCUUUAACUUUUACACAGCCUUUGGAAUGCCUUUGUGAUCAUAGAUCUUAUGACGUAGUUUUUUCCUUACGUCUCAUUUUGCCAAUUUAUUUUUCUACUUUUGUACAAAAAUAAUGUUUGGGAUUAAUAAUUGAUACGUUUUUUUUUUAUUUCAGUACAGAGGAUAAGAUCAUCGU
RNAcentral lists this long non-coding RNA (1469 nucleotides) under Helianthus annuus (common sunflower). The record is from RNAcentral. Lineage: Eukaryota; Viridiplantae; Streptophyta; Magnoliopsida; Asterales; Asteraceae.